CUCUGUGAGCUGAUUCCACCAGUGACUGAGCACAGACCACCACCAUGGAGCUGGGGCUGCGCUGGGUUCUCCUUGUUGCUCUGUUGAAAGGUGUGCAGUGUGAGGUGCAGCUGGUGGAGUCUGGGGGAGGCUUGGUGCAGCCUGGGGGAUCCCUGAGACUCUCCUGUGCAGCCUCUGGAUUCACCUUCAGUAACUAUGGCAUGAACUGGGUCCGCCAGGCUCCAGGGAAGGGACUGGAGUGGCUCUCAUACAUCCGUGGUGAUAGUAGUAGCACAUACUACGCAGACUCUGUGAAGGGCCGCUUCACCAUCUCCAGAGACAACAGCAAGAACACACUUUACCUGCAGAUGAACAGCCUGAGAGUGGAGGACACGGCCGUCUAUUACUGUGCUAGAGACACAGUAGUGCUAGGGGGCAGAGGGCUGCUUUCAAGAAUGGCUACCAAGGAGCUGCAGGCUCCAGGGAAGGGGCUGGAGUGGAUUUCAUACAUCUAUGAUAGUAGUAGCAUAUACUACACAGACUCUGUGAAGGGCCGCUUCACCAUCUCCAGAGACAACAGCAAGAGCACAUUUUACCUGCAGAUGAACAGCUUGAGAGUGGAGGACACGGCCGUCUAUUACUGUGCUAGAGACACAGUGCAGGAAAUCCAGUAUGUCCUGUCCCAGCAGCUGCAGGCGACCCACAGCCUGGCCUGA
Molecule: non-coding RNA, 695 nt
Organism: Dipodomys spectabilis (banner-tailed kangaroo rat)
Lineage: Eukaryota; Metazoa; Chordata; Mammalia; Rodentia; Heteromyidae
Source: the annotation of a RefSeq genome assembly